This 200-nucleotide ribosomal RNA is filed under the name uncultured bacterium. RNAcentral's name for it is "partial 16S ribosomal RNA". It matches the Rfam family "Bacterial small subunit ribosomal RNA", at positions 29 to 226 of the family's 1533-position model. The record is from RNAcentral.
AGCGAACGCUGGCGGCAGGCCUAACACAUGCAAGUCGAACGGUAACAGGCCUAGCUUGCUAGGUGCUGACGAGUGGCGGACGGGUGAGUAACGCGCAGGAAUCUACCUAGAAGUGGGGGAUAACCUGGGGAAACCCAGGCUAAUACCGCAUGAGCCCUAAGGGGGAAAGCAGGGGACCGUAAGGCCUUGUGCUAUUAGAU